AGAGUUUGAUCAUGGCUCAGAUUGAACGCUGGCGGCGUGCCUAACACAUGCAAGUCGAGCGGUAACAGGUGUAGCAAUACAUGCUGACGAGCGGCGGACGGGUGAGCAAUAUUUGGGAAUCUGCCUAUUAGUGGGGGACAACCCGGGGAAACUCGGGCUAAUACCGCAUACGCACUACGGUGGAAAGCCGGGGACCGCAAGGCCUGGCGCUAAUAGAUGAGCCCAAAUCGGAUUAGCUAGUUGGUGAGGUAACGGCUCACCAAGGCGACGAUCCGUAGCUGGUCUGAGAGGACGACCAGCCACACCGGAACUGAGACACGGUCCGGACUCCUACGGGAGGCAGCAGUGGGGAAUAUUGGACAAUGGGCGAAAGCCUGAUCCAGCGACGCCGCGUGGGUGAAGAAGGCCUGCGGGUUGUAAAGCCCUUUCGGUGGGGAUAAAAAGCCUUGGUUUAACACACCAGGGUCUUGAUCUAACCCAAGAAAGAAGCACCGGCUAACUCUGUGCCAGCAGCCGCGGUAAUACAGAGGGUGCGAGCGUUAAUCGGAAUUACUGGGCGUAAAGCGCGCGUAGGUGGCUUUGCAAGUCGGAUGUGAAAUCCCCGGGCUUAACCUGGGAACUGCAUUCGAGACUGCUCUGCUAGAGUAUGGGAGAGGGAAGUGGAAUUUCCGGUGUAGCGGUGAAAUGCGUAGAUAUCGGAAGGAACAUCAGUGGCGAAGGCGACUUCCUGGACCAAUACUGACACUCAAGUGGAAAGCGUGGGGAGCAAACAGGAUUAGAUACCCUAGUAGUCC
This 794-nucleotide ribosomal RNA is filed under the name uncultured bacterium. RNAcentral describes it as "bacterial SSU rRNA". It matches the Rfam family "Bacterial small subunit ribosomal RNA", at positions 8 to 796 of the family's 1533-position model. The record is from RNAcentral.